RNAcentral lists this long non-coding RNA (223 nucleotides) under Elaeis guineensis (African oil palm). Its description in RNAcentral is "long non-coding RNA (EGUI_LNC037296)". The record is from RNAcentral. Lineage: Eukaryota; Viridiplantae; Streptophyta; Magnoliopsida; Arecales; Arecaceae.
UUGCUGCAAGACUUGGGUCCGAGGUGUGCGGUCGGGGUCCAAGUCCUUUUGAUCUGAGAGUUCGACUUCAAUUCAAGGAUUAAAACUCUUUGAAGAACCUACAAAGUAAGUCCACUUUCAUCAGAGAUUCUUCAAUGAGGACCCUCUAAUGCUUAAAUCAGCCAAAGUUUGAGAAUAAUAGAGAGAGAGAAAGCAAGAGUGUGGGGUAAUUGCUUUAGAGUCC